RNAcentral lists this ribosomal RNA (794 nucleotides) under methanogenic prokaryote enrichment culture J0704699_A19-10_M13R-48. RNAcentral's name for it is "bacterial SSU rRNA". It matches the Rfam family "Archaeal small subunit ribosomal RNA", at positions 85 to 880 of the family's 1478-position model. The record is from RNAcentral.
ACUGCUCAGUAACACGUGGACAACCUGCCCUUAGGUUGGGUAUAAACCCGGGAAACUGGGUAUAAUACCCGAUAGGUCUCGAUUGCUGGAAUGCAUCGAGAUUUAAAGCUCCGGCGCCUAAGGAUGGGUCUGCGGCCUAUCAGGUAGUAGUGGGUGUAGCGUACCUACUAGCCUACGACGGGUACGGGUUGUGAGAGCAAGAGCCCGGAGAUGGAUUCUGAGACACGAAUCCAGGCCCUACGGGGUGCAGCAGGCGCGAAAACUUUACAAUGCUGGCAACAGCGAUAAGGGAACCUCGAGUGCCAGGUUACAAAUCUGGCUGUCGAGAUGCCUAAAAAGCAUUUCAUAGCAAGGGCCGGGCAAGACCGGUGCCAGCCGCCGCGGUAACACCGGCGGCUCGAGUGGUAACCGUUAUUAUUGGGUCUAAAGGGUCUGUAGCCGGCCGGAUAAGUCUCUUGAGAAAUCUGGCAGCUUAACUGUCAGGCUUUCAGGAGAUACUGUCUGGCUCGAGGCCGGGAGAGGUGAGAGGUACUUCAGGGGUAGGGGUGAAAUCUUGUAAUCCUUGAAGGACCACCAGUGGCGAAGGCGUCUCACCAGAACGGACCUGACGGCAAGGGACGAAAGCUAGGGGCACGAACCGGAUUAGAUACCCGGGUAGUCCUAGCCGUAAACGAUACUCGCUAGGUGUCGGCCACGGUGCGACCGUUGUCGGUGCCGUAGGGAAGCCGUGAAGCGAGCCACCUGGGAAGUACGGCCGCAAGGCUGAAACUUAAAGGAAUUGGCGGGGGAGCACA